UACAAAAAUUGAAAAUGCCCCCUCCUAAACUGAAACCGCUGGUACCGAACAUGAAAUCACAAAUAAAUAAAUCUAGUGCGGGACUGGAAAAACCCACUGGGGAGCCGACAAAACCCAAUUCAGUACCAACCAAACUUAAUGCAUUAUCAACCAAACCUAAUGCAUUAUCAACCAAACCUAAUGCAUUACCAACCAAACCUAAUGCAUUACCAACCAAACCUAAUGCACUACCAACCAAACCUAAUGCAUUACCAACCAAAUCUAAUGCACUACCAACCAAAUCGAAUGCACUACCAACCAAAUCUAAUGCACUAUUAACCAAACCCAAUACACUACUAACCAAACCCAACACAGUUCCAACCAAACUAAAUAUGACAGAAACAAAACUACCACAACAAAUGACAAUGCAGAAAAUGAAUAUACCAGAGAGUAAAAUUAAAACGAUGCCACCGAAAUCAAAAUUCAUAGCAGCAACCAAAGAAAAAAUACCAAAUCAAAAAGUGCCAGAAUCAAAAGCUAAUCUUAAAAAUACACUUACAGAAGAUAUAUCUAAUCUUACUAAAAAAAUAUCUUUUAAUUUAGUUAAAAAUGGAGAAGAUAAUACAAUGAAAACAGUUCCUACUGGAAAAAAUACAUUUUUAGAAAAAACAAAUAUGCCUAUUAUAUUAAAAAACGAAUAUGUCAUACCUAAACCUAAUAAUAUUUUAUCUGAAAAUUCAGCAUCUACAGUUUUGGACAAUGGAUCAGUAUUAAAUAAUUUAACAAACAAAAGUUCUAAAGAGUUGAAUGAUUUUUCUAUGAAGAAAAAAAUAUUAUUAACAGACCAUUCCAAAUCGAUUAAUAAUGAAAAUAUAACAGAUGUUUCAAGUAGUGUGAUAAAUAAACAUUUAAAUAUUGAUUCAUCCUACUUAAAUUUGAAUGAUAAUACAACUGACUUUCCUAAUAAUGCAAUUAAAAAUAAUAAUAGCAAUAAUAAUAAUAAUAAUGUAAUGAUUGCAAUGCAAGAUAAAGGAAACAACAUAGGACCUUUAUCAACUUAUAAAGAUAGUAGUUUAAUUCAAAAUAUGCAUUAUAUAAAUGCAUUUUCCAGAGCAAACGGUAAUUAUUUAGGUAAAGUCACAGGCCCACCACCUACUUC
RNAcentral lists this long non-coding RNA (1138 nucleotides) under Piliocolobus tephrosceles (Ugandan red Colobus). Its description in RNAcentral is "lncRNA (ENSPTEG00000013233.1)". The record is from RNAcentral. Lineage: Eukaryota; Metazoa; Chordata; Mammalia; Primates; Cercopithecidae.